GACGAACGCUGGCGGCGUGCUUAACACAUGCAAGUCGUACGGUAAGGCCCUUUCGGGGGUACACGAGUGGCGAACGGGUGAGUAACACGUGAGUAACCUGCCCACAACUUUGGGAUAACGCUAGGAAACUGGUGCUAAUACUGCAUAUGUGCUACUGCUGCAUGGUGGGGGUUGGAAAGCUCCGGCGGUUGUGGAUGGACUCGCGGCCUAUCAGCUUGUUGGUGGGGUAGUGGCCUACCAAGGCGGCGACGGGUAGCCGGCCUGAGAGGGUGACCGGCCACACUGGGACUGAGAUACGGCCCAGACUCCUACGGGUGGCAGCAGUGGGGAAUAUUGCACCAUGGGCGCCAGCCUGAUGCAGCAACGCCGCGUGCGGGAUGACGGCCUUCGGGUUGUAAACCGCUUUCAGCAGGGACGAAGCUUUUUGUGACGGUACCUGCAGAAGAAGCACCGGCUAACUACGUG
RNAcentral lists this ribosomal RNA (465 nucleotides) under uncultured bacterium. RNAcentral's name for it is "partial 16S ribosomal RNA". It matches the Rfam family "Bacterial small subunit ribosomal RNA", at positions 28 to 507 of the family's 1533-position model. The record is from RNAcentral.